This 497-nucleotide ribosomal RNA is filed under the name uncultured bacterium. RNAcentral describes it as "partial 16S ribosomal RNA". It matches the Rfam family "Bacterial small subunit ribosomal RNA", at positions 28 to 507 of the family's 1533-position model. The record is from RNAcentral.
GAUGAACGCUGGCGGCGUGCCUAAUACAUGCAAGUCGAGCGAACGGACGAGAAGCUUGCUUCUCUGAUGUUAGCGGCGGACGGGUGAGUAACACGUGGAUAACCUACCUAUAAGACUGGGAUAACUUCGGGAAACCGGAGCUAAUACCGGAUAAUAUUUUGAACCGCAUGGUUCAAAAGUGAAAGACGGUCUUGCUGUCACUUAUAGAUGGAUCUGCGCUGCAUUAGCUAGUUGGUAAGGUAACGGCUUACCAAGGCAACGAUGCAUAGCCGACCUGAGAGGGUGAUCGGCCACACUGGAACUGAGACACGGUCCAGACUCCUACGGGAGGCAGCAGUAGGGAAUCUUCCGCAAUGGGCGAAAGCCUGACGGAGCAACGCCGCGUGAGUGAUGAAGGUCUUCGGAUCGUAAAACUCUGUUACUAGGGAAGAACAUAUGUGUAAGUAACUGUGCACAUCUUGACGGUACCUAAUCAGAAAGCCACGGCUAACUACGUG